This 434-nucleotide ribosomal RNA is filed under the name uncultured bacterium. RNAcentral describes it as "partial 16S ribosomal RNA". It matches the Rfam family "Bacterial small subunit ribosomal RNA", at positions 29 to 507 of the family's 1533-position model. The record is from RNAcentral.
AGCGAACGCUGGCGGCAGGCCUAACACAUGCAAGUCGAACGAACCUUUCGGGGUUAGUGGCGGACGGGUGAGUAACACGUGGGAACGUGCCUUUAGGUUCGGAAUAACUCAGGGAAACUUGUGCUAAUACCGAAUGUGCCCUUCGGGGGAAAGAUUAAUCGCCUUUAGAGCGGCCCGCGUCUGAUUAGCUAGUUGGUUGAGGUAAUGGCUCACCAAGGCGACGAUCAGUAGCUGGUCUGAGAGGAUGAUCAGCCACAUUGGGACUGAGACACGGCCCAAACUCCUACGGGAGGCAGCAGUGGGGAAUCUUGCGCAAUGGGCGAAAGCCUGACGCAGCCAUGCCGCGUGAAUGAUGAAGGUCUUAGGAUUGUAAAAUUCUUACACCGGGGACGAUAAUGACGGUACCCGGAGAAGAAGCCCCGGCUAACUUCGUG